GAUGAACGCUGGCGGCGUGCCUAAUACAUGCAAGUCGAGCGAACGGACGAGAAGCUUGCUUCUCUGAUGUUAGCGGCGGACGGGUGAGUAACACGUGGAUAACCUACCUAUAAGACUGGGAUAACUUCGGGAAACCGGAGCUAAUACCGGAUAAUAUUUUGAACCGCAUGGUUCAAAAGUGAAAGACGGUCUUGCUGUCACUUAUAGAUGGAUCCGCGCUGCAUUAGCUAGUUGGUAAGGUAACGGCUUAUCAAGGCAACGAUGCAUAGCCGACCUGAGAGGGUGAUCGGCCACACUGGAACUGAGACACGGUCCAGACUCCUACGGGAGGCAGCAGUAGGGAAUCUUCCGCAAUGGGCGAAAGCCUGACGGAGCAACGCCGCGUGAGUGAUGAAGGUCUUCGGAUCGUAAGACUCUGUUAUUAGGGAAGAACAUAUGUGUAAGUAACUGUGCACAUCUUGACGGUACCUAAUCAGAAAGCCACGGCUAACUACGUG
This 497-nucleotide ribosomal RNA is filed under the name uncultured bacterium. Its description in RNAcentral is "partial 16S ribosomal RNA". It matches the Rfam family "Bacterial small subunit ribosomal RNA", at positions 28 to 507 of the family's 1533-position model. The record is from RNAcentral.